This is a non-coding RNA of Staphylococcus aureus C0673, 269 nucleotides long. The record is from Rfam. Lineage: Bacteria; Bacillati; Bacillota; Bacilli; Caryophanales; Staphylococcaceae.
CCGUGCUAAGUGGGGAGGUAGCGGUUCCCUGUACUUGAAAUCCGCUUAUGCAAGACUGAAUUCCUUUGCCGCGGACAUAUUAUUGUGAGGUCUGCCCUCAGCACGUGGUGUCUGAAGACGUCGGUCCUAUGCAAUACAAACCCAUGAAUCAUGUCAGGUCCGGAAGGAAGCAGCAUUAAGUGGAUCAUUGUAUGUGCCGUAGGGUAGCCGAAGUUUAGCUAACGACUGAGGUAACGCUUGUGAUGUUUGUUCAAAGCAAAGGUGCACGG